CUCGUCAGAGGGCUUCGCCGGCAGCUGCCACCGGCAGUGGCCCUUGCCGAUGCCCGUGUGCAGCACAUGCAGGAGCCGGUGCACCUGCCCCAGCUCCAGUAGCCGACGAUCGCCCGACAGCAGGUGCUCCGGCCGACGCUGCUGCUGCUCCGCCUACCUCUUCAGCUUGCCCUGCUGGACCAACAGCAUCGACCUCGACAGCAUGGACUGACACUAGCCUGAUCUGACUGCACCGAUAGCUUCGCACUGUCUUUGGAGAAGUUAUCGAUUUCAGUAUCGAUGGUGCUGGAGUGCUCUGCCGAGGCUGCUACUGUGCACUGAACCUCGUCAAUAGACUCGAAUACGAGCGGAAAAUGCUCAGAAAAUCAUUUAUAACGUGUAUGCUGCAUCGUGAUACCGACAACCUUAAGCCUGGAACUGUUCUAGCUACUGUAGAAGAUCACAGAAAAAACUCUGCAGCAUGUGAAGAACAACAGUUAUUUGGGACUGAAGAGAAGUACCCAUCCAAAAUGUGGACAAUAAAUGAAGAGCGACGAGAAAUCCACACUGAUUGUUUCCGUUCACUAGAAGUGAAUUCUGCAGGAUUGGUUGCCGGUUCUGUUGCACGUGAUUUCUUUAAAAGAUCACAUUUACCUGAUCAUGUGCUGAGAAAAAUAUGCUGCUGUCGUCGCCUGGUGAGAUCUCGUGGCUUGAGAUAUGACUGACUUACAAAAGAACAUCGCAACCUUGGUUUCAAACGCUCCGGAAACUAACGCGCUGUGUUUGGUG
RNA transcript from Schistocerca cancellata (South American locust), 768 nucleotides. RefSeq lists it as uncharacterized. Lineage: Eukaryota; Metazoa; Arthropoda; Insecta; Orthoptera; Acrididae. The transcript is spliced from 4 exons. The record is from RefSeq and is a predicted model, not a curated record.